ACCGAACACUACAAAAAAUGAGCAAAAUUGCGGGGGUUAUUUUAACCUCCAUAAAAUUAUAUGAAAUGCGGGGGUUAAAAGUCUAUCGCUAAAAUUUAUAAAUUUGCGGGGGUUUAACCCCGCUAUCAAUUGCAGGAGUUUUAAAACCUCGGCUAUCAAUUGAAAAAAUAGCUUUUAUGCCAUCAAAACAAUAUUUUCCCUUUUUUUUUUUUUAAUUUUCCAAACAUUUUCCCUCUUGGCCAAAAUAUUUUCCCUCUCUUUUAAUUUACAACUCUCAUUUUCCCCCAAAUCACCCUCUCUCAUUUUCCCAAAUUGACCCUCUCUCUUAUUUUCCCCAAAAUUGUCUCCGGUCGGUGGGCCUUUGCUACUUCGGCUAGCCAUUGCACUAGGUGUUGCAAUUGAGUUGGACUCCGAGUUGUCAAAGGAGCUCAGGUCAAACAAAAUAUUCUUCUCAAGCCAGCUCGAUUGAAGAGGAGCCAAGUGAUGUGGCUAGUGGACCCAUUUUGCCCAUGGAUGUAAGGAGACCAUGUGAUGAUAGUGAUCCUAAUGAUAGCCAUUGGUUUCGUUGCAAAUUGUCUUGGAUAUUCAAUUAUGUCUUGGAUGCAAUUUUGUGGUUGGAGUGAAUCUUAGAAUAUUGAAGGUUUUAUGUUUAAAUUUGAUUUUGGAGUUUGAUGAUACUAGUUAAUGUUGAAAAUUCGGAGUUUGAAGAUGUUAAUGUUGAAUAUUUAAUUUUUGAAG
Molecule: long non-coding RNA, 738 nt
Organism: Capsicum annuum
Lineage: Eukaryota; Viridiplantae; Streptophyta; Magnoliopsida; Solanales; Solanaceae
Exons: 3
Source: RefSeq, a predicted model, not a curated record